GGCUCUGGCCGAGCACUGCCUGCCUGUGGGUCUUCGAGCAAAAGAAAUGCUAUCGUUGGAUAAGACACUCAGCUUCGGGUGGUUUGUUAGGCAGCACCUGAUAAAAGGCACAGUUAGGCUGUGGAGUAGGAUGUUUGCAGCAGGCGCCCCUCUUCUUUUGGCUUUCACCACUGCUCAGCAGGUGCCCAGGAUUGCCCACCCGACGGCCUUCUCUGGCUGUGGGAGCCUGCAUGGCUGACACUGGAGCACGUGUGACGCGUGCAGUCAGUGCUAACCCUGGUGCAGUCACAGUGCCCAGCCCUCUUGUCUUCAGAGGGCCAACCCUGAGGAGAAACCCUAUGUGGUUUCCAAAGACUCCCUCAUGGAGCUGGGCCUCAAUUUCCCACUCCAGUGCCCUGUGCUCCCACUUCUGUGCUCCCGAAAUCUGGAGCUUCCCAGACCACACCCCAGACACCCGCUCAACCCAGAGCAGGGCUCAAGGAGCUUCACCUAGUGACCUCAGAACCCCAGGCCUCUCUGGAGUGGAUGUAGCUUCCUUGGGUGUCCUCUAUGGUCUCCAGGCUGGCAUCCAGAAAUUGACUCAGUUUCCCACAGCCACUGGGGCACACCCAAAUGACGCACCUAGUAUAAAGGGCAAUGGGGACAAAAUGCACCAAGGACUUGGCUGGCCUGGGGACCGGACGUGUGGGUAGAACGGCACCUGAGGUACUAGAAGGGUUCUUGGAGGAGGAAAAAGAAGAAAAUAGGGGAAGCAUAGCUCUUUAUUAAGCUUUAUAUGCAGAGCACUGUUGUAUUUGCUCGUCCUCUGGGCUGGUGUCUUAUCAGACAUGCUGCACAUCUGUGAGGUCAAGGAGAAAGUCAUUUUUAUCUGAAGUAGAGAAAAAGUCUUGCUGGUUACAGGGUGAUGCAAGUCCUCGAGCAUCUAUCUCCUGCUCCUUGGAGCUCCGUAGACAUCUCCCUUCUCCUGUACAUGUUCCCUGGCCAUUGACGCCCACAGACAGGCAGAGGGUGAGCCACAAAGGCAGCGGUGGGAAGCUGAAGAAAAACCUGGCAGGAAACAAGAACCUUACCAGAUUAGCAAGUGACCAGAACCAAGACAUCAAAGGACCUGGAUAAAAGGGAGGAGAUCACUCGGGGGGGAGUUUAAAUACAGGCAGCUUAAGUGGCCACAGAGAGCUAGAUUGAGCGAUGAAAGAUGACCUCAGAGUCACAGCUCAGAGGCCCAGGGAGCAGCUGGCACGGGGAACCGGAGCUGUGGGAAGGGACAAGGGCUUUGCCUUCAGAGGAGGCGAGUCCUCAGGAGCAGGAGGGACCCCAGCUCACACCCCCUGCUUUUGUUUUUCGUCUUCAUUUUGAAAUAAUUACAGGUCCACAGGAUGUGGCCACAAAUAGCCCAUGAAGUCCUGCAGAGUCCUCACCUGUCUUUCUCCAGUGGUGACAUCCUGUACAAGGCAGUCUUUCAUUAAAGCAAAGAACUGGGCUCCACAACACUGUUAGGUCUCGUCCAAUUGUGUGUGUGUGUGUGUGUGUGUGUGAGUGUGUGUGUUGUGUAGUCCUGCCAUGUGUACGGUUAUGAUGUAAGCACCACAAUCAAGCUACAGAACCUUUUUUCCUCCUCCAAGGAGUGGUUUACAGUCUUACUUGACACUGGAGCUGCCUG
Molecule: long non-coding RNA, 1660 nt
Organism: Heterocephalus glaber (naked mole-rat)
Lineage: Eukaryota; Metazoa; Chordata; Mammalia; Rodentia; Bathyergidae
Source: Ensembl